Molecule: ribosomal RNA, 417 nt
Filed under: uncultured bacterium
Lineage: Bacteria
Description: partial 16S ribosomal RNA
Rfam family: Bacterial small subunit ribosomal RNA
Source: RNAcentral
AAUCUUCCGCAAUGGACGCAAGUCUGACGGAGCGACGCCGCGUGGGGGAUGAAGGCCCUACGGGUUGUAAACUUCUUUUAUACAGGAAUAAAGUGAGUCACGUGUGACUUUUUGCAUGUACUGUAUGAAUAAGGAUCGGCUAACUCCGUGCCAGCAGCCGCGGUAAUACGGAGGAUCCAAGCGUUAUCCGGAUUUAUUGGGUUUAAAGGGUGCGCAGGCGGAAGAUUAAGUCGGCGGUGAAAUUUUGCAGCUCAACUGUAAAAGUGCCAUCGAUACUGGUUUUCUUGAGUGUGGAUGAAGUAGGCGGAAUUUGUGGUGUAGCGGUGAAAUGCAUAGAUAUCACGAGGAACUCCGAUUGCGCAGGCAGCUUACUAGGCCAUAACUGACGCUCAGGCACGAAGGCGUGGGGAUCAAACA